Molecule: ribosomal RNA, 256 nt
Filed under: uncultured bacterium
Lineage: Bacteria
Description: partial 16S ribosomal RNA
Rfam family: Bacterial small subunit ribosomal RNA
Source: RNAcentral
UACGUAGGGUGCGAGCGUUUAAUCGGAAUUACUGGGCGUAAAGCGUGCGCAGGCGGCUUCGCAAGUCAGGCGUGAAAUCCCCGGGCUUAACCUGGGAACUGCGCUUGUAACUAGCGGGGCUAGAGUGCGGCAGAGGGGGGGUGGAAUUCCACGUGUAGCAGUGAAAUGCGUAGAUAUGUGGAGGAACACCGAUGGCGAAGGCAGCCCCCUGGGUCGACACUGACGCUCAUGCACAAAAGCGUGGGGAGCAAACAGG